Molecule: ribosomal RNA, 253 nt
Filed under: uncultured bacterium
Lineage: Bacteria
Description: partial 16S ribosomal RNA
Rfam family: Bacterial small subunit ribosomal RNA
Source: RNAcentral
UACGGAGGGUGCGAGCGUUGUCCGGAAUCACUGGGCGUAAAGGGCGCGUAGGCGGCCUGAUAAGUAGGGGGUGAAAUCCUGCGGCUUAACCGCAGGGCUGCCUUCUAAACUGUCAGGCUAGAGCACGGUAGAGGCAGAUGGAAUUCCUGGUGUAGCGGUGAAAUGCGCAGAUAUCAGGAGGAACACCGGUGGCGAAGGCGGCCUGCUGGGCAGUAGCUGACGCUGAGGCGCGACAGCGUGGGGAGCAAACAGG